GGAAGUAAAGUCGUAACAAGGUUUCCGUGGGUGAACCUGCGGAAGGAUCAUUCAUAAUAAAGUGUUUUAUGGCACUUUUUAAAAAUCCAUAUCCACCUUGUGUGCAAUGUUAGAUCUCGUCAAUCUUGGCGAGAUUUUUAUACAUCAACUCAUUCUUUAACUAAUUUGUCUGAAAAAUAUUAUGAAUACUUAAUUCAAAAUACAACUUUCAACAACGGAUCUCUUGGCUCUC
RNAcentral lists this unclassified non-coding RNA (232 nucleotides) under plant metagenome. Its description in RNAcentral is "partial contains small subunit ribosomal RNA, internal transcribed spacer 1, and 5.8S ribosomal RNA". The stretch from base 1 to 53 matches the Rfam family "Eukaryotic small subunit ribosomal RNA", at positions 1778 to 1831 of the family's 1831-position model. The record is from RNAcentral.